Molecule: non-coding RNA, 450 nt
Organism: Passer domesticus (house sparrow)
Lineage: Eukaryota; Metazoa; Chordata; Aves; Passeriformes; Passeridae
Source: the annotation of a RefSeq genome assembly
AUGGUGAAACUGCCGAAAGUGAACCCGGACCCUCGGCAGAGGAGGCGCAGGGACCCCCCGGGGGCCUGGAGGUCCCCCCCGGACUCCAGCAGGGUCACAGUGCACUCCCAUCUCCAAACCUUCUCUGGGCUCCGGGCGGCCGUGACCCUGCUGGAGUCCGGGGGGGACCUCCAGCCCCCCGGGGGGUCCCUGCGCCUCCUCUGCCGAGGGUCCGGGUUUGAUUUCGGGAAAGUGAACAUGUACUGGGUCCGCCAGAGACCCGGGCAGGGGCUGGACUUCGUGGCAGAGAUCAGCUAUGAUGGUUCCAGAACCUUCUACCCACCAUUGUUCAAGGGUCGGUUCACGAUCUCCAGGGACAACGGGCAGAGCUCGGUGACGCUGAUCAUGAACAACCUCAAGGACGAGGAUUCCGGAUCCUAUUUCUGUGCCAGAUCCCUGGGCCAACGUUGA